AUACGUAGGGGGCAAGCGUUAUCCGGAUUUACUGGGUGUAAAGGGAGUGUAGGUGGUCUGGCAAGUCAGAUGUGAAAGCCCGCGGCUCAACUGCGGGACUGCAUUUGAAACUGUCAGACUGGAGUGCAGGAGAGGAAAGUGGAAUUCCUAGUGUAGCGGUGAAAUGCGUAGAUAUUAGGAAGAACACCAGUGGCGAAGGCGGCUUUCUGGACAGUAACGGACACUGAGGCUCGAAAGCGUGGGGAGCAAACAGGAAUAGAUACCCUGGUAGUCCACGCCGUAAACGAUGAUGGCUAACCGCUGGAUCCAUCGGUUCAGUGGCCAAGCGAAAGCGAUAAGCCAUCCACCUGGGGAGUACGACCGCAAGGUUGAAACUCAAAUGAAUUGGCGGGG
This 393-nucleotide ribosomal RNA is filed under the name uncultured bacterium. Its description in RNAcentral is "partial 16S ribosomal RNA". It matches the Rfam family "Bacterial small subunit ribosomal RNA", at positions 523 to 918 of the family's 1533-position model. The record is from RNAcentral.